Molecule: ribosomal RNA, 460 nt
Filed under: uncultured bacterium
Lineage: Bacteria
Description: partial 16S ribosomal RNA
Rfam family: Bacterial small subunit ribosomal RNA
Source: RNAcentral
CCUACGGGCGGCAGCAGUGAGGAAUAUUGGUCAAUGGCCGGAAGGCUGAACCAGCCAUGCCGCGUGAAGGUCAGUGCCCUAUGGGCGUUAAACUUCUUUUGUGCGGGAGCAAUAAUGGUCACGUGUGGCCAGACGAGAGUACCGUACGAAUAAGCAUCGGCUAACUCCGUGCCAGCAGCCGCGGUAAUACGGGGGAGGCAAGCGUUAUCCGGAUUUAUUGGGGUUAAAGGGUGCGUAGGCUGUGAGGUAAGUCAGCGGUGAAAUGCCCCCGCUCAACGGGGUGAAGUGCCAUUGAUACUGCCUUGCUGGAAUGCGGAUGCCGUGGGAGGAAUGUGUGGUGUAGCGGUGAAAUGCAUAGAUAUCACACAGAACACCGAUUGCGAAGGCAUCUCACGAAUCCGCGAUUGACGCUGAUGCACGAAAGCGUGGGUAUCAAACAGGAUUAGAUACCCCUGUAGUC